GUUUGAUUGGCCAUCGUUGCCUGUCAAUCACCUACAAAUACGUUAUGCUUAGCUGUGUUGUUAUGGUUGUGACAUAAGUUCUGUUUUUACGUGACGAGAGAAGGUUGGGUGUUCAUGUGCGACACGUAAAUUCUGUGACACAGAUGCAGUUGGAGGAUGGCUGGCAAAUCAAGUGCAUGCAAAGUUCGAAAUGUGGAUAUCAACCCAUGCAUUGAGGAGAGUGAUGGUUCUCAAAAAUGUUUGGAUGCAUACAACUAUGAUAAGAGCAUGUGUUCUGCAUACUUCAUGAGAUAUAAAAACUGCAGGAAAUACUGGAAUUCUUCUGGUAUGGUUCCUUGGUAUUGGAAAUGGUUUAAUUGUUGAUGUAACAGUUGAUGGUCACCAUUGGAACAAGUGGAGGGAGGAUGGGCUCCCCUGCUGAGUUUGAUUCAUCCCCAUUUAUUUCAUCCCAUUUCACAUUCUCAGCAUGGUGUGAUGCUGCAGCGUAGGCGUGACGGAGUGAAGCCUGAUAUGCCAACCGCUCAGGAACGAGAGCAGAUCAGGACAGCCCUUGGAGGGAGGCCCUACUGACUGCAGGGUAGCAGUUAAAACGUGUGUGUGUGUGUGUGUGUGUGUGUGUGUGUGUGUGUUUGUUUGGACUCAAAAGAAAUUUCUUGCAGAGGAGACACAUUACGAAUCUAUCCCUCUGGCUUUAUUAAAUAUGUAUUUCAGUCCUGCAUGUGGGAAAAGAGGUUAAAUGUGUACUUGCAGAAUUUUAGCAAUUAUGUAGAUGUUACAACUACUGCUGUGUUUGUAUGUAUAAUACUGUCAAUGGCAGGCUAUUACAGCCAAAUUUAAUGAAUUCAGUUGUUCAAAAUAGAACACGUUUUUAA
RNA transcript from Cyprinus carpio (common carp), 872 nucleotides. It is a transcript of the gene named coiled-coil-helix-coiled-coil-helix domain-containing protein 7-like, with no coding region annotated. The transcript has 5 exons. The record is from RefSeq and is a predicted model, not a curated record. NCBI's taxonomy places the organism in Eukaryota, Metazoa, Chordata, Actinopteri, Cypriniformes, Cyprinidae.